AGCAGCCGCGGUAAUUCCAGCUCCAAUAGCGUAUAUUAAAGUUGUUGCAGUUAAAAAGCUCGUAGUUGAAUUUCGGGAUCAAUUUAUCGGUCGUGCCAAUGGUAUGAACUGGUACAAUUGGUUUCUCCCUUCUGACGAAGCAUGAUGCCAUUAAUUUGGUGUCGUGGGGAAUCAGGACUGUUACUUUGAAAAAUUAGAGUGUUUAAAGCAAGCAUUAGCUUGAAUACAUUAGCAUGGAAUAAUGAAAUAGGACGUUUGAUCCUAUUUCGUUGGUUUCUAGGAUCGACGUAAUGAUUAAUAGGGAUAGUUGGGGGCAUUAGUAUUCAAUUGUCAGAGGUGAAAUUCUUGGAUUUAUUGAAGACUAACUACUGCGAAAGCAUUUGCCAAGGAUGUUUUCAUUAAUCAAGAACGAAAGUUAGGGGAUCGAAGACGAUCAGAUACCGUCGUAGU
RNAcentral lists this ribosomal RNA (450 nucleotides) under uncultured Glomeromycotina. Its description in RNAcentral is "SSU rRNA". It matches the Rfam family "Eukaryotic small subunit ribosomal RNA", at positions 569 to 1024 of the family's 1831-position model. The record is from RNAcentral. Lineage: Eukaryota; Fungi; Glomeromycota.